This 794-nucleotide long non-coding RNA is filed under the name Pogona vitticeps (central bearded dragon). RNAcentral's name for it is "lncRNA (ENSPVIG00000013253.1)". Lineage: Eukaryota; Metazoa; Chordata; Lepidosauria; Squamata; Agamidae. The record is from RNAcentral.
UUUAAAUAAUUAACAAUCGUAAAACACCAACUCCGGUCUGUUGAAGUCCUGGUUUGUUGAAAUGCUCGAACCCAGAGCGACGGCUUUUCGAUUAUUUCUCUCCACUUUCCUUCCUGAAAUAAGGGCUGUUAAAAAAGGGGUUGAGAGAAGAAGAAUAGACCCCAAAUAUGGAAAAGAAAUGGGGGUUUGUUUGGUUCUCUGUGAGAUAAGGUGGAAAACCGUGUUUGUGUUAUUUUUUGGGGGGGGACUACAAGUUCCAGAAUCCCACAGGCUUUGUGGGAGUUGUAGUCCAAAACCCCCAAACAAUUGCAAACCUCCAAGUAGGAUAAAGCACAUGCAUCUGGCCAUUCCAGGAACUUCUGAAGAAAAUAAGGGCCCGGCGAGGAUGAAUUCUCUGUCGUUACCGCCGGAGAUACGGGCAACGUACAGGUUAAAAUCCCGAGCACUCAGUCCUGGAAAAGUUAAUUUGUAACUGCGGUCUUGCUGAAAACGAAGGGAUAGAGCGAUGGUCUGCGCACGACGACACUGGGAGCGGUAUGCAUUUUUAAAAGGCUGGACGUGCUUGAUAGCUACCGGAAUCGCAGUGUCAAUAUUGAUCCCAACAAGUGUAGUGUACGACAGGUGUGGACCGUGCUCUGUAUCUCCUCCUCCUCUCCUGCCAGAAUCAUGUGGAUGUGAACACAUGUCCUUGCCAAACCCUUCCAAGUCCUUUUGGCUGCCAACACCGCCACACCCUCUACUUUCUACACAUAGCUUUGCUUUGGGAAGGCGCACCCUUGUUUGUCAAAGAAUAA